This 371-nucleotide ribosomal RNA is filed under the name uncultured bacterium. RNAcentral describes it as "bacterial SSU rRNA". It matches the Rfam family "Bacterial small subunit ribosomal RNA", at positions 27 to 429 of the family's 1533-position model. The record is from RNAcentral.
GAACGAACGCUGGCGGCAGGCCUAACACAUGCAAGUCGAACGCUCCGCAAGGGGGAGUGGCGCACGGGUGAGUAACACGUGGGAACCUACCUUCUGGUACGGAACAACCAAGGGAAACUUUGGCUAAGACCGUAUACGACCUCCGGGUGAAAGAUUGAUCGCCGGAAGAGGGGCCCGCGUCCGAUUAGGUAGUUGGUGAGGUAACGGCUCACCAAGCCUUCGAUCGGUAGCUGGUCUGAGAGGAUGACCAGCCACACUGGGACUGAGACACGGCCCAGACUCCUACGGGAGGCAGCAGUGGGGAAUAUUGGACAAUGGGCGCAAGCCUGAUCCAGCCAUGCCGCGUGAGUGAUGAAGGCCUUGGUUGUAAG